AGGAAAGCCACAUACUCAAGCUCAUCUUCAGUUCAUGAAUCUAUCCAUCCAUGCCACUUGUGUUACAAAACUGCUUUACCUUUAGGUUUAAUCGUUCGUCAUUUUGUCUCUAGCUUAUCCUGAUAAUCUCGAAUGAGCUAUUCAGUGUAGCAAAAACCGAUGAAUCCAAAACAGAUAAACGGAAAAGCAACAUU
This 194-nucleotide small RNA is filed under the name Arabidopsis thaliana (thale cress). RNAcentral describes it as "ATSL110970". The record is from RNAcentral. Lineage: Eukaryota; Viridiplantae; Streptophyta; Magnoliopsida; Brassicales; Brassicaceae.